GGGAAAUUAGCUUAAACAGUGUUCAUUAAACGUAGCCAGUCUGCCUGGCUGUUGUUGCAACAGAUGCUUUCUCACGGCGAACCUUAUGCUCUCUCAGACCAAACCGACCCAGACACACCUUAUGCUCACGUUUUUUUUUGUACGCAGUAACACGCAGAUGUAUGUCUGUUCCUCGCAGGACACUGCAUCAGUGUAUUAUACACGUUUCUUUGAAUAGUUUAUCCAAAGUUUUACGCUGUUAACAGAAGUAUUUAAAUCAUUCCUGUCUCAUUGUCUCAGAGUGUUUGGAAGCCAUACACGUUUAUAUAGUGGUCCUGAAGUCCAGGAUUUUGUUGCGAUGGAUGUUGUUCCCCGGCUCCAAAUAUCGCUCUCACACUUCUAAAACUGCUUUUUUUUUGUAUAUGUACAAUGGCUCUACUAGAUUUAGGUAUUACAAAUUGAUCAUUGUGAAAUUAGUUGUCGCAUUAAAGUCGAGGUGCCUGCGCCUCAGCGUUUUUGUUUACACGAACAAAAGGAGAAAAUCCAUUUUAUAGGUUUAAAAGAUUGAUGAGGAACCAAAUAUGUACAAGGGUUCACGUGUUUUAGGCUAUCGUGAUGUUGCAUGAGUGUGAAUGUUUUGUUGAGGUUACAUGGCAGGGCUUUGAAGGAUAAAACUGGAGAGAUUUUUAUUUACAUUUUUUCUUGAUUGUCAACAAAACCAAUAAUGUUGUGCAUCUUGGUGGCCCUCAGCUCCGCUUUAGUUGGUUCAUAAUCGGAUACAUUUAACGAGGCUCAUUAAAUGUAUCUAAUUUCCUCAAAAACACAUGGGCAUUGUAGUUUUUUACCAAACAAUUAGAAGGUUCAUGUGUGGGGACUAGUUUAUGCAGUGGAUGUUGUGGCUGUUUGUAUGUUUUUUUUUCCAUCUAAGAGUGCAUGUGGGAAAAUACAAAAUACACAGUGUCUUUGUCUGAGAUCAUAAAAAUUACACAUUUACUGGGAUAGUUUAUAUUUUUUUUUUCAUAUGAUUUGUUGACAAAAACACAGAAUAUGAAGGAAUUCUUACUUUAAAACAGAGACAUAUUCUUGCUAAUAUCAAAACCAGCACCAUAAAGCCUGUUUUGCUUUUGUGCAAAUACAUUGCUACGUUUCAUGAAUUGCUUGUUGGAUUGUUAAAAAGUGAAAUGGGUCAUGCUUUAGUUAUAAUUAGAAUGUAUUUACAAGCAGAGGCAGAGUGUAGUUUGCUAUUAACAUGGUAUAUAUAUGCAAAAGCAUUUAAAUAUACAUAGAAGUUGUUGACCAAUGCUUAAAAAUACAUUACAUGCUGCUGCUAAAAGCUAAAUAGUGCUACGCCGAUUAUUUGUGCGUCAUUCCUUUUGUCAUGUUUAACUGGGAAUCUUUCACAUUUCAGUAGUAUAUGUUCCGACACGCUACUCGGCUUGUAGGAUGUCACUUCCUGAGAGCCACGUUGCCAUGGUAACCCAACCUCAUCUGAGUUAAGCCGAGCACAAAUAAAUUUAUCCUUGGCAAACUGAAAACUUUUUAAAUUUAAACACUUAAAUUGAAGCAUUUUUGAUAUCAGGUCUCAGUGCGUUGCAUAAUAGGACAUUUAUGCCCGGUGUGGAGUCCUGCGACACAUCCUCUAAUGUUCCCUCAGAAACAUGCAACUAGUGUAUUUCAGUACAUUCGUUGGUUUCGGCACGCUAAAAAACGACUUCAGUAUGUAAAUUUGGAUGCGAUUCUAAUCGUGCUUUUUGUAAGUUGUUUUUCGUUCCCAAGUUCAAAACAGAAAGUGACUUUUGACUUGUAAUUUGGAUGACCAGCUAGCUACAGACUUUUCUGUGUAAACCUUUACAAGAAGUUAAAGGUAUAAUGUCGAACGUCACUAUGAGCUCAUUUUAUAUUUUGAAAAUUGAAGUUUUGUACUGGAUCACUGCAAUGAUGCUACAGAAAUAAUGAAAUGUUACAAAUUCCACAUCACGUCUGUUGCACAUGUAAUUCUAAGAAAAAUACCGGAUCAAAAUCAGGGAGGGAAGUGUGUAUUAAGAUAUUUUAAUUAAAACUAGUUCCUUUUUCCAUUACAUAAAUGUGGCUUAAAAGCAAAGCCUAAUUUCAACAUGUAAACUGUGAAUGCAAAAGGUGAACUUUUGCAUUAAAGCUUCCUGGUCAGACAGAUCAUAUGUCAAAAUCUUGUUUCCAGUCUUUUCUUUUUUACGUGACUUGUAAAAUCUAAAUUACAAAGUAUUAUUUUUUGCAAUUAAUAUAUAAACAGCACUUUUUUUAAUGUUAUUAUUUGGGAUCUUUAGUUGAAUAUAGAAAAUAUGAAUGAGACAUGGACUGCUUGAAUUAAAUGAAUUUGAACCAGGGCUCUGUUAUGUUUCACCCCAACACACUGCUGGACUGCUAAAAGCAGCUCAGGGUCAUCCAGAGCAUCUGAACUUGGAGUCCAUUAGACAGGAGUUUAAAAGAUUCAGCUCCAGUGGGUAUUCAGAGGCAGUCCCUUUACAGGACAGUGCAUUUACACCAAACAGCAAACGGGCUGACUUACUCACAGAUGCAAGUUUGCAAGGUUUGAAUUUCCUAAGGUGAAUGUAGUCAUGUUCUGUAUUUCAUUGUACUAAAGUUUGUUUUACUAAGGACAUAUCAAGUGGAAAUGGGUAAUGUUUAAUAAGAUGGGAUCGGAAACAUAAAAAAGCAUCAGCCAAAAAUGUUUUCAUUAUGUUACAGCUUUUAAGGUCAGCAGAAAUUUACACCAGCAAGUUUGAGACUUAAGGCAACUACAUUUCACUGAAACCUGUAACCAAACAUACUGAUUUAUUUAUUUUUUGAUCAAUACAAGUCAGCUACAAGUCAAUAAUCGAUCAUUUUAACUUGAUGCCACAAAAGGACACCAGCUAAAAUCAGCGUUUACACUUUCAGAUUAAAGAAACGAGAAGGGAUGGGUAACCUUUAAUCCACUAAUGUGAUGGUGUUCUGUCAUUCUGACGUUAUAUUAAUGUGCUCCCAGUGGCAGAGACACCUUCCUCCCCAGUGUGUAGAGAUACUGCUGCGGUGGUGGGAGUGCAUCUCCUUCUGCAGGGCCGUUUGAGUGGCCCAUUCCUGCCAUCCUCCUUUGCCUCUUUAAACCUUGUGCUUGCAUUCCUUCCGGUCCUGCCUGUGCUUUUUCAUGUUGACCAAAAGCCUGUGCAAGUCAUCAGUGUGCUGAUGCCUCUGUUUUGUUUAGUUUUCCCCCCUAAUUUCAGUGGUUGUAAUCAUGUGAGUGCCCAUCUGUAGAUUACACUGAGAUUAAAGGGGAGGAUGUGCUUGUCUGAAAUGGGCUUUUGUGACUUUUAAAGGUGCUGAUGGAGGUUAUACCUUUGGACUGAACCUGUAAAUUAUUAGGCUCUAAUUUAAAAUACUUACAGAGCCCACUCUUCAGAUAAAAGUCAGGUAAAUGUGUAUUAAAUAACCAAAAAAAGUAGUCCUCCAUCAAGGCUCAUGUCCCAUCCACAUCAAAAUUUAAUAGGUUCUUCCUUUACACAUUCCUCUCCAUCUCCUGACCUUCGCCUUCUACUCUACUAAAAGCAUCACUGAAAAAAAACAGAAACAAUUUUAGCUGUUGAGCAGAUUGACAUUUUGAUGGUAAACAUGAAGCUUCACAAGCAGCAGUACAUAGCAGGCUGAUGAAUCUUCGGCUGAUCGUUUAAGUGAAAUGUGAAAACGACAGAAUCCCACCGAAAGUAAAAACAAGGUUCCUUCCUGAGCUUUUGCAAAACUUAUAUUUAAGGACAGUUAUUAUUAAAAGUUCAUCAGUCAUGUGUGUUCAUUACUGCUUUGCCUUUCUUAUGACAGGAAUGUGUUUAAGUGGUGAAAAUGGGACUGCGUUUUGUUCAUUUUUUCCAAAUGUGUGUCUCAUGAAGUCGCCUUUAACUGCAUUGAUUGUGACAGGCUUCUGAUGUCUCUCCUCCAAAAUGCGCUUGUACAAAAAGCACACUGACUGGAAAAAAACAACAAAAACCCCAUUGUGUGAAUGCUCCAUGGAUGGUUGUGUUCCAAGUUUGUAUUCCCACUGCAAAAAUAAAGACAGU
Molecule: long non-coding RNA, 4043 nt
Organism: Astatotilapia calliptera (eastern happy)
Lineage: Eukaryota; Metazoa; Chordata; Actinopteri; Cichliformes; Cichlidae
Source: Ensembl